Molecule: ribosomal RNA, 253 nt
Filed under: uncultured bacterium
Lineage: Bacteria
Description: partial 16S ribosomal RNA
Rfam family: Bacterial small subunit ribosomal RNA
Source: RNAcentral
UACGAAGGGGGCUAGCGUUGUUCGGAAUUACUGGGCGUAAAGCGCGCGCAGGCGGCUAUCCAAGUCAGUGGUGAAAGCCCGGAGCUCAACUCCGGAACUGCCAUUGAGACUGUUUAGCUUGAGGAUGAGAGAGGUGAGUGGAAUUCCCAGUGUAGAGGUGAAAUUCGUAGAUAUUGGGAAGAACACCGGUGGCGAAGGCGGUUCUCUGGGCCUUACCUGACGCUGAGGAGCGAAAGCGUGGGGAGCAAACAGG